This is a long non-coding RNA of Cryptotermes secundus, 254 nucleotides long. RefSeq lists it as uncharacterized. The transcript is spliced from 4 exons. NCBI's taxonomy places the organism in Eukaryota, Metazoa, Arthropoda, Insecta, Blattodea, Kalotermitidae. The record is from RefSeq and is a predicted model, not a curated record.
UGCAACUGGGCCUAACUGAAUUGUGAAGCUAUAUUUUCUGUGCUUCGGGUUUGAGCGUUAAAGACAGUCUUCCUUUGUCAGCCAUCUUGUGUAAACUGGCGCACGAGAAGGAACAGCGUGACAAUAGCGCGUCCUGGAAGAGUAAGAACUAAUCUCCAUGAUCUACUGUCUUCUGAAUUUGUUGUGGGCCCUUCCAUUCGGGAUCAGUGGGAGACAUACGGUAACAGAAGGACAGGUUUCCCUCGUCGCACUGC